RNAcentral lists this ribosomal RNA (255 nucleotides) under uncultured bacterium. RNAcentral describes it as "partial 16S ribosomal RNA". It matches the Rfam family "Bacterial small subunit ribosomal RNA", at positions 524 to 777 of the family's 1533-position model. The record is from RNAcentral.
UACGGGGGGGGGCAAGCGUUGUUCGGAAUUACUGGGCGUAAAGGGCUCGUAGGCGGCCAACUAAGUCGGAUGUGAAAUCCCCAAGCUUAACUUGGGAACUGCAUCCGAUACUGGAUGGCUUGAAUCCGGGAGAGGGAUGCAGAAUUCCAGGUGUAGCGGUGAAAUGCGUAGAUAUCUGGGGAAGUACCGGUGGCGAAGGCGGCAUCCUGGACCGGCAUUGACGCUGAGGAGCGAAAGCUAGGGGAGCAAACGGGG